RNAcentral lists this ribosomal RNA (385 nucleotides) under uncultured eukaryote. Its description in RNAcentral is "partial 18S ribosomal RNA". It matches the Rfam family "Eukaryotic small subunit ribosomal RNA", at positions 592 to 976 of the family's 1831-position model. The record is from RNAcentral.
CAAUAGCGUAUAUUUAUGUUGUUGUAGUUAAAACGCUCGUAGUUUAAAUUAGUGAAUUUUAUAAAAAUGAAAUUAAAAUUGUUAAUUCAGUUUUGAUUUCAUCUUAACAAACUUUUAAAAUGGAACAUUUUAUGUUUUAUUUUAAAUUAUUUACCAUAAGUAAAAUAGAGUGUUUAAAGCAGCACAUUUUAAGUGCAUUGAAUAAUUUAGUAUGGGAUAAUAGAAUAUGAAAGUCAAAUCAUAGGAAACUAUGAUUAUUUAAAAAUGACUUUAAUGAUUAAUAGGGACAGUCGUGGCAAUCAGUAUUUCUACACGAGCGGUGAAAUGUUUAGACUGUGGAAAGACUAACUAAUGCGAAAGCAUUUUGCAAGGAUGUUUUCAUUAA